UUGCAGUGAUGAGUUUUUAGCCUCAGAAAUAUAAUGUUGAAUAUUUUUCGAGCUUUUUAACUCUGAGCUCU
This is a non-coding RNA of Stegodyphus mimosarum, 71 nucleotides long. NCBI's taxonomy places the organism in Eukaryota, Metazoa, Arthropoda, Arachnida, Araneae, Eresidae. The record is from Rfam.